CACCAGAUGGUUCUGUAGCAAAAAUUACCGGCAAAGAGGGCUUAUAUUUCUC
This 52-nucleotide small RNA is filed under the name Arabidopsis thaliana (thale cress). RNAcentral's name for it is "ATSL146770". Lineage: Eukaryota; Viridiplantae; Streptophyta; Magnoliopsida; Brassicales; Brassicaceae. The record is from RNAcentral.